CUAGCAACCCAUUCCACAGUUGCAAAACCCGUGAAACGUGAAGGGCAACACCGCCUUACCAUGUAAACAGGUUCUUCGGCAACACUCUAGGAAAGAUCAAAACAAACGAUGAGGCACAAAGGGAGACCCAUCAAAGCCAUAAUCUUACAUCCAAGGGUCUCCCAGAAUACUACAACCCAAGAGAGAUCACACUUCACAAGGAUCCAAAAAACACAGAUGCAAGAACCAGGCCAAGGUAGAUGGACCAGUAAGACGAAACAUCACAGAUUGCUCCAAAAGGUUGAUGAGGCAGAGCUUGGUCAGCCAAUGAAGCUUUGGAGUCAGCCAUAGAUGGCAUAGCCUAUGAAGGACCCCCCAAGGUACCCACAUCCCUUAAAAAUGCAAUCCCUUCCAGAGCCACAAAGGUAGAAACUGAUGGAAAACCAUUAAUAACUGUAUGCAACACCCAAGGCUAGACAAAGCAACUCUAAUCUAUGAUAGAUCAAAGAAGGCUCUCUUAAAUAAGCACCAUCUACCACCAAAAACCACUUAAACUUAUUUAUGCAUAUCAUCCCACCCGGAGGGGGAGAUCAUAACCCACUAC
Molecule: unclassified non-coding RNA, 583 nt
Filed under: Hevea brasiliensis (rubber tree)
Lineage: Eukaryota; Viridiplantae; Streptophyta; Magnoliopsida; Malpighiales; Euphorbiaceae
Source: RNAcentral